Long non-coding RNA from Malaclemys terrapin pileata, 1002 nucleotides. RefSeq lists it as uncharacterized. NCBI's taxonomy places the organism in Eukaryota, Metazoa, Chordata, Testudines, Emydidae. The record is from RefSeq and is a predicted model, not a curated record. The transcript has 4 exons.
CAUAACUUCAAAAUGAGGAAGGAGCGUUUUCGGGACCAUCCACCACUAAAAUGCAUAUACCUCAGAACUGAAGCAAGGCAAUGCUUUAUUGCAGAUAAUCAAGAACUCCAAAUUUUAAAAAAACAAUCUCUUCUAUUUUCGAUAAGGUGGGAAAGAGAAGCAAGACAUUACUCCUUAGACACCUAAAGCCAUCACUGAUUGUUCACCAGUCUGGCUGGAACAAGAUCCUCGGAGGUAUUUAAGUGCCUGAGUCCCAGGAAUCUAAAUACCUUUGAAAAUCUCAGCUGUCAUCUGUCUCACGAUCAGCAGAUCCAGAUAACUUGCAUCCAAGAGCUUCAAAAGAGCCAUCUGAGAAGCUUGCUGGACCAUUAAUGUUGAUUUUCAGUAAGACUUGGCACGCUGGGGAAGUUCCAGAACACUAGAAGAAAGCCCUGCAUCUGACUCCUGACCCCCAAGACCAUCGGACUGACUCCAACUCAGCUUCAACCUUUAGCCGUAUCUGGACUCCAACUACAAUACUGAUGUUGCUUUUCUAUGAAUUCUGACCUCAGAACUGACCCACAGCCUGUUCCCUGGACUCCAUUUUCAGUGCAGCCCUCAGCCCAUCCCGACCCUCCAUUCAGCUUCAAACAACACUCCAACCACCAGGCCUGAAUGCCUGGAACCAGAGCUUGACACAUGGGGGUGAACCCUUUUCACAAAACAAUCUCUUCAUAUCUGACCUCUCCGUCCACGUCCUCAAAGGAAACCUGCACAUCUUGAAAGGACGAGCCUGGGAGCUUAAAUUCAUAACUUUACUAGACAUUAAAAAUCAUGGUCUUAAUAAAGACACUGGAAUUAUGGCUUAUUACAGCAAUCUGAAACCCAUUAACUCGCUUUUUUUGUCCUAUGACUGUCGGGGUGUUAAUGGGCCACUUUGCCUUGAAUGAUCUGUUAGAAUAUGUGUUAGCUACUUAUGCUAAACAAUCUGUUCCACGUUCUAUUUAGCUGUAGACCCGAAGA